UCAAAAACAUGGCUUAUUGAUUUUAAUUUUAAGUCUAGCCUGCCCCCUGAAGUUUUAAAUGGCCGCGGUAUUUUGACCGUGCUAAGGUAGCAUAAUCAUUAGUUUCUUAAUUAGAAGCUGGAAUGAAGGGUUGGAUGAAAAAAUUUCUGUCUCUAUUUAAAUUUAUUAAAAUUUUAUUUUUUAGUAAAAAAGCUAAAAUUAUUUUAAAAGACGAGAAGACCCUAUAGAGUUUAAUAUAUAAUUAUUUUAAUAUUUAUUAGGAUAUAAAUUUUUAAUUUAAUAAUAUAUUUGAUUGGGGUGAUUGAAAAAUUAAAUAAACUUUUUUUUAUUUUUUACAUUAAUUUAUGAGUUAUUGAUCCAUAUUUUAUGAUUAUAAGAUUAAAUUACCUUAGGGAUAACAGCGUAAUGUUUUCAGAGAGUUCUUAUCGAAGGAAAAGAUUGCGACCUCGAUGUUGGAUUAAAAUUAAUUAUUGGUGUAGAAGCUAAUAUUAUUAGGUCUGUUCGACCUUUAAAAUUUUACAUGAUCUGA
This 529-nucleotide ribosomal RNA is filed under the name Bruchidius murinus. RNAcentral's name for it is "partial 16S ribosomal RNA". It matches the Rfam family "Bacterial large subunit ribosomal RNA", at positions 1807 to 2608 of the family's 2925-position model. Lineage: Eukaryota; Metazoa; Arthropoda; Insecta; Coleoptera; Chrysomelidae. The record is from RNAcentral.